UACAGAGGUCCCGAGCGUUGUUCGGAAUCACUGGGCGUAAAGCGCACGUAGGCGGAUCGUUAAGUCGGGGGUGAAAUCCCAGGGCUCAACCCUGGAACUGCCUUCGAUACUGGCGAUCUUCGAGUCCGGGAGAGGUGAGUGGAACUCCGAGUGUAGAGGUGAAAUGCGUAGAUAUCCGGAGGAACACCGGUGGCGAAGGCGGCUUCCUGGACCGAUCACUGACGCUGAGGCGCGAAAGCUAGGGGAGCAAACGGG
RNAcentral lists this ribosomal RNA (255 nucleotides) under uncultured bacterium. Its description in RNAcentral is "partial 16S ribosomal RNA". It matches the Rfam family "Bacterial small subunit ribosomal RNA", at positions 524 to 776 of the family's 1533-position model. The record is from RNAcentral.